Molecule: ribosomal RNA, 1014 nt
Filed under: bacterium
Lineage: Bacteria
Description: partial 23S ribosomal RNA
Rfam family: Bacterial large subunit ribosomal RNA
Source: RNAcentral
GGAGUUCUGAGUAAGGGCGUGUGGUGGAUGCCUUGACUGAAGAAGGCGAUGAAGGACGCGGCUUAGCUGCGAUACGCUUCGGGGAGGUGCUAUGCAACCUACGAUCCGGAGAUUUCCGAAUGGGGCAACCCUAUAUGGCAAACCCAUAUAACUUUCCACUUAAACGGUGGAAAGAGCAGACCUCGGGAAGUAAAACAUUUCAGUACCGAGAGGAAAAGAGACCAACAGGUAUUCCCUUAGUAGCGGCGAGCGAAACGGGAAAAGCACAAACUCAGCCUCAAAGCCGGAUUGCCGAUAGUGGUGAUUCGACUUUGGGUAUGGGGGUAUAGGCUACAGCGUCCCCUGACCCUCUGACAAAUAUUGUCAGGAGGUCAGGAGGGUGGAGUUACAAAAUGCUUAGUUAGUGGAACGCACUGGGAAGUGCGACCCCAGAGGGUAAUAGUCCCGUACACGAAAACAAAGCAUCUCUAUGGCUGUAGUUCUUGAGUAGCUCGAGACAUGGAUAGCUCGGGUGAACACACCAGGACUAACUGGUAAUGCUACAUACUUCUUCAGAUCGAUAGUGAACAAGUACCGUGAGGGAAAGGUGAAAAGAACCCCGAUGAGGGGAGUGAAAUAGAACUGAAACCACAUUUCUACAAGGAGUUGAAGAGGUGCUUGCACCUCGACAGCGUGCCUAUUGAAGAAUGAGCCAACGAGUUGAUGCAUACGGCUUGGCUAAGUGCCUCAAAGCAUGGAGCCGUAGCGAAAGCGAGUGUGAAUAGCGCGUUCGUCGUAUGUAUCAGACCCGAAGCAACGUGAGCUACCCAUGAGCAGGAUGAACUCUGUAGAAAUACAGAGGGAGGUCCGAACCCAUAGAUUGUGCAACAUCUCGGGAUGACUUGUGGGUUGGAGUGAAAAGCUUAUCGAACGUUGUAAUAGCUGGUUCUCUCCGAAAAAGCUUUCGGGCUUGCGUCAUGAAUUGUAGGUGGGGGUAGAGCACUGGAAGAAGCGGACAGGCCGAAAGGCCGCUGC